GGGAAUAUUAAAAUGUUGGUGCAUUUCAUGGUCUUCAACACCAUUGUGAGAACAAAAAUCUCUUGUAGGUUCGAUUCCUGCAUAUUCCCGCCA
RNAcentral lists this transfer RNA (93 nucleotides) under Peptostreptococcaceae bacterium. Its description in RNAcentral is "tRNA-Sec". It matches the Rfam family "Selenocysteine transfer RNA". Lineage: Bacteria; Bacillati; Bacillota; Clostridia; Peptostreptococcales; Peptostreptococcaceae. The record is from RNAcentral. RNAcentral also lists the same sequence under 1 other name.